Molecule: ribosomal RNA, 341 nt
Filed under: Antilope cervicapra (blackbuck)
Lineage: Eukaryota; Metazoa; Chordata; Mammalia; Artiodactyla; Bovidae
Description: partial 16S ribosomal RNA
Rfam family: Bacterial large subunit ribosomal RNA
Source: RNAcentral
CAUUUGUUCUUUAAAUAAGGACUUGUAUGAAUGGCCACACGAGGGUUUUACUGUCUCUUACUUCCAAUCAGUGAAAUUGACCUUCCCGUGAAGAGGCGGGAAUAAACAAAUAAGACGAGAAGACCCUAUGGAGCUUUAACUAACUAGUUCAAAGAAAAGAAACUUAACCACCAAGGGAUAAUACUAUUCUUCAUGAGCUAGCAGUUUUGGUUGGGGUGACCUCGGAGAACAAAAAAUCCUCCGAGCGAUUUUAAAAAUAAGACACACAAGUCAAAUUGAACUAUCGCUUAUUGAUCCAAAAUUUGAUCAACGGAACAAGUUACCCUAGGGAUAACAGCGCA